UUAGGAUGUCACGUUGUACACAA
Molecule: non-coding RNA, 23 nt
Filed under: Arabidopsis thaliana (thale cress)
Lineage: Eukaryota; Viridiplantae; Streptophyta; Magnoliopsida; Brassicales; Brassicaceae
Source: RNAcentral